CCUUAGAGGGAGACCCGAUGAAAGUCUCAACAGCCAAAAACUAAACAAAUCGCUGUCGAGACAUUCAGUAUCCCGAGGUCGUAACAAGGGAAAAAAGAAAGAGAAGUAUCAAGGCCUUUCAAACUCUGUCAACGGAACUGGUCAAACAACGGGCUAUUAGCUCAGGUGGUUAGAGCGCACCCCUGAUAAGGGUGAGGUCCCUGGUUCGAAAGUCCAGGAUAGCCCAGACGUCCGAACCAGGCGAAAAAAGUCUACCCAAAAGAUUGACAAGUCGAAUCGAAUCAUGGUAGAUUUGACAUCCUGCCCAGAAAAGAAAAGCGAGUUCAGCACCCUAUAUCUGAGUGACUCAGAGAGAAUGCUGGAUUUGUGAAAAAAGUCCAGAAACCUUGAAAACUGCAUAGAGAAGCGAAAGUAUGACGGUAGUCAGUAGUCAGGUCUGAACAGUUACCAGGAAUCAAAGAUUGAUAGCUGGUAACAGAGAACUGAAGACUGAACAGACACGAAAGUGUAAAGAA
Molecule: transfer RNA, 515 nt
Filed under: Alborzia kermanshahica S2
Lineage: Bacteria; Bacillati; Cyanobacteriota; Cyanophyceae; Chroococcales; Chroococcaceae
Description: partial 16S-23S ribosomal RNA intergenic spacer
Rfam family: tRNA (bases 151-226)
Source: RNAcentral